UCCUCAUUGUACAUGCUGUGU
This 21-nucleotide microRNA is filed under the name Columba livia (rock pigeon). RNAcentral describes it as "cli-miR-460b-5p". Its record names the gene cli-miR-460b-5p. The record is from miRBase by way of RNAcentral. Lineage: Eukaryota; Metazoa; Chordata; Aves; Columbiformes; Columbidae.